CCAGUCUUGCGUGUGGUGGAUUAGUGGCGAACGGGUGAGUAACACGUGAGUAACCUGCCCUUGACUCUGGGAUAAGCCUGGGAAACUGGGUCUAAUACUGGAUAUGACUUCUCACCGCAUGGUGGGGGGUGGAAAGAUUUAUUGGUCUUGGAUGGACUCGCGGCCUAUCAGCUUGUUGGUGAGGUAAUGGCUCACCAAGGCGACGACGGGUAGCCGGCCUGAGAGGGUGACCGGCCACACUGGGACUGAGACACGGCCCAGACUCCUACGGGAGGCAGCAGUGGGGAAUAUUGCACAAUGGGCGCAAGCCUGAUGCAGCGACGCCGCGUGAGGGAUGACGGCCUUCGGGUUGUAAACCUCUUUCAGUAGGGAAGAAGCGAAAGUGACGGUACCUGCAGAAGAAGCGCCGGCUAACUACGUGCCAGCAGCCGCGGUAAUACGUAGGGCGCGAGCGUUAUCCGGAAUUAUUGGGCGUAAAGAGCUCGUAGGCGGUUUGUCGCGUCUGCCGUGAAAGUCCGGGGCUUAACCCCGGAUCUGCGGUGGGUACGGGCAGACUAGAGUGCAGUAGGGGAGACUGGAAUUCCUGGUGUAGCGGUGAAAUGCGCAGAUAUCAGGAGGAACACCGAUGGCGAAGGCAGGUCUCUGGGCUGUAACUGACGCUGAGGAGCGAAAGCAUGGGGAGCGAACAGGAUUAGAUACCCUGGUAGUCCAUGCCGUAAACGUUGGGCACUAGGUGUGGGGGACAUUCCACGUUUUCCGCGCCGUAGCUAACGCAUUAAGUGCCCCGCCUGGGGAGUACGGCCGCAAGGCUAAAACUCAAAGAAUUGACGGGGGCCCGCACAAGCGGCGGAGCAUGCGGAUUAAUUUCGAUGCAACGCGAAGAACCUUACCAAGGCUUGACAUGAUUCCUGACCGCCGUAGAGAUACGGUUCCCCUUUUGGGGCAGUUCACAGGUGGUGCAUGGAUUUUCGUCAGCUCGUGUC
This 983-nucleotide ribosomal RNA is filed under the name Micrococcus terreus. Its description in RNAcentral is "bacterial SSU rRNA". It matches the Rfam family "Bacterial small subunit ribosomal RNA", at positions 73 to 1066 of the family's 1533-position model. The record is from RNAcentral. Lineage: Bacteria; Bacillati; Actinomycetota; Actinomycetes; Micrococcales; Micrococcaceae.